Molecule: long non-coding RNA, 589 nt
Organism: Solanum stenotomum
Lineage: Eukaryota; Viridiplantae; Streptophyta; Magnoliopsida; Solanales; Solanaceae
Exons: 3
Source: RefSeq, a predicted model, not a curated record
CAAAGGUAUUCAUUCCACCAGUACGUCAUGCACCUACAGGUGCGGCGAUGCCACCGACCGUCGGUCCUCAUCCGCCGCUGUGAAAGUGGAGUGAGGCAUCAGAUCUCUCAGUCAAUCAAUGGUACCUGCCGUUUGCUUCUCUGAGGCGACCGUUGGUUAAUCUUGAGGAUUACCACUGACUUUCUAGCUGAUGUGAUUCAAAAGAAAGCUUAUAUUUUGGAUCUUUGGAAGAUAUAGCUAUAUGGGUGAUAUUACCAACUUGAACCAGUAGUUUACAUAAGUGAGAAUAAUAUACCAGAAAACAGUUGCUUUCUUACUUCAUAAUAAGCAACACCAAUAAAUGGAUGAGGCAAACAAUACUUGUGGGGAAAUAGAAGAGAUUAUAGACUAUAUUGAGCAGAGGUUUAAGCAGAUCAAGCAGUUUGACAUACUUGACUAUUAUCCGUAUGAUCACCACUUCUUCAAAUAUGACAAAAAUUAUAAGAACAUGACAUCGGAAAGUGCCUUUUGCCAAAGGAUUGAAAAAGAGUGUCUUUUGUUGGAGAAGACCCCCUGGCCCUGAUCAAUGGAGUUGCAACUAGAUGAGAAA